Molecule: long non-coding RNA, 3399 nt
Filed under: Sorghum bicolor (sorghum)
Lineage: Eukaryota; Viridiplantae; Streptophyta; Magnoliopsida; Poales; Poaceae
Description: long non-coding RNA (SBIC_LNC001316)
Source: RNAcentral
UGUCAUUGGCUCAAAUCAAAGUGCAAAAAGAAAUUGACCAGGCCAAGGUUGAAGAAGACCUACAGAGCAAUGGAGCACGGUGAUGGGUGAGCUUGUCACACCCAUAUUUUAAGAACAAAAUAGGAUGCAUAAAAGACUCAUAUGUGCUCCAGAAACAGUCACACACAUAAGUAGACAAAUCUCAAAUGUACCAUUGCAGUGUUUAUUACAUAGCGGAACAAUAAUAAAUCACAUAGUCUUAUACAAUAAUGAUAUUAAGAUAAAACAAUGCUCUCGACGGAAGCACCACACAGGGACACCGUUGACUGGUUGACUCCAAGCCUAAUACUCAUAACUGUAAUCCUCAUUCCAAGCAUCAUCAUUUGCAUAACCUAGGGUGUUGGGAAAUUGCAAGAGUGAGCACAUAUCGUAGUCAACAAGUAUAACCAGGGGUUCAUGAGGCUCAAAUAGCUGACACUGGUUUGACUGCAUUUAGCUUUUAAUAGUGGAUAGCAUGUUCAUAAAUAGAUAGCAAAUGUCAAGGUAGCAUUAAUAAUCCAUUAAUCACAUGAUCAAGUGUAAGCAUAAUUAAUUCAUAGCAUAAAUGAUAAUCCAAUGAAUAUAACAACUUAACAAGCUCAUCAUCGUUGGUGUAAGAACCCCCAAGGCCGCUCUUAACCGUGAGCACGGCUAGUAUACCAGUUUUUAACACUCUGCAGAGGUUGUACAUCUUUACCCAUGAGUCAUGAUUUACCCUUUCGCCCGAGGUAGCUAGUCUCUUAAGCCCCUUCCUAGGGAGGUCGGCAGGGAUCAUUAUGAAGCCUUUCAAAAGUUCGUCUAACAUGUUAGAGCCGCAAGGUUUCCCAGCGUGCAUAUAUAGAGCCCCCGUUCCAAUGGCACAAUGACUCACAGCCUAUACACAUAAAGACAGAGGCCACACUAUACCCAAAAUAGUUAGACCCCUCAAGUGUCCUUUCGGGUAACCGCUAACAAGCUAGAAAAGGUCUUCAUACUGAGCUAAAGCCAGAGCCAUUAUAGCCCUCAUGGUUGCACUGUUGUCCCGGUGAUCACUUACAGAUAACAUCUCAUAUAGUUAUUUGUCAUCUUUUAACGUUCAUUGCAUAGCUAUUAAUCAUCUUACAAGAUCAUGGAUUAUAUCAAGCACUAGCACAUCUACACCAAAUGCAUAUCAAGUAGGUUGCAAGGAAUCCAGGUAACAAUCAUCUAUGAUUUUGCUAAGGUCGACAAGGUGAAAGCAUGCAUAUGAUAUAUAUGUGUAUUUAUAAGUGAAUAGAUAACAAGGAUGAUCCCAAGUUAUACUUGCCUUGAUCAAAGCUCUUCUGAGCCUACUGCUGGCCUUCAAAAGAUUGAUCUCGAUCACCAACGUAUCUCUCAACGUCUAUACUCGAUCAUCAAUCAACAACACACAAUCCAAUGUAGACAAUCAUACACGAUGCAAACAAGCUAUAAUUAGAACAAUACACCACAAUGGUAAAACAAAUAUAAAAGUUUAUCAAAAUAUUCUACGCAGCGCUACGAUCACACAAACGUAAAGUUCACGAAAAUCGGAAUUAAAACCUAGAAGUUAUGAAUUUUCUAAGAUUUCCUAUAGAUAAAUAAUUAAUUAAAUGCCACUGCAAAAAUAAAAAGUUUCAAAACAGAGAAAUAAUACUUCUAACAUGUAGAGCUCGUGAAUACGAAUCUAACGAAAUUUGAAUGGAUCAAAUCGGAGUCAAAAUGAGUAUUUUAUAAGCAGUUUCAGUGGCAAACUUGUAAAUCUUGAAAACGUAUUUGUGAAACAACCCUACGUGAAAUACGCUUUCAAAGUCAGAAAAUAUAAGCAGGAAGGUGUGUUGGACUGCGGGUUCUAUUUGAGAAAAACCGAGGGUCUCUUUAACAAUUUGUGCACGCGAAGGGGUAUUCUCGUUUCCUGGUCGUCGAUCUUCAAACGGACGGCCGAGAUCAGGCCAGAGAGAGGCGGGCAGCGGCCGGCCACAGGGGUUGGCCUCCGGCGUGGUGGCGCCAUGGCCGGAGGGCCCGAGCUCGACGGAGCUCGUGGUCCGGCCAACUCCGAGCACCUUUCUUUGAACAGAAAACGCCGGGAGGUCGAGAAGCUCACCGCGGAGUCGUCUAGGGUCGUUGCUCGGGCCGAGAGGGGACUGGGAACUCGCGCCGCGGUGGGGGAUGGAUGCGGCCUCGGCGGAUUCCACACCUCGGCGAGCUAAGCUUCUAGGGCUCCGUUUUUGCGGCGCAGAUGGGAAAGGAGCCACACGGAGUCGAUCUAGGGACUUUAUAGGGGCUCGGGGAAGGCAAAUCCCUCCUAAAUCGGGAUUGGGGAGGAUUCGGUGGCGUGGAUCUCGCGUCCUGUUCGAACUCGGCUGGGGGAAGAAGGAAAGGGGCGCUGACGCGCGGGUCCCGCGUCGCAGUGAGAGAAGGGACGGGGCCCAGCUGUCAGUCGGCGAAAGGAAGAAGGGUGAGGGCACGCGUGUUCGGCCGGGAGAGGGAUUGGGCCGCGUGAGGGGGGGAAACAGGCCAAGGGGGGGGCUGGCUGGGCCGCCUGUUGCGGCAGCGCUGGCUUGCCCCUUUUCUUUUUUUCUUUUCUUUUCCAAAACAUUUUCCAAUUAGAAGUUUGUGCAAAAACAAAUAAAAUAAAAUAAAAAACAACAGCACAAAAAAAUACUAUGCUCACAAUGAAUGCAAAAACAUGUUUCUACCCUUAUGAUGAAUUUUAAAUUUCCACAAAAUUAUUUAUUUGCUAGAUUAAAUGCCCACCAAAAAUGCUUAAUUAAAUCAAAUUAAAUCCUAUUAAAUAAAAAUCAGGUUUUGGGUGUUACAGACCUCCAGAGAGCUACAGAGGGCAGGCUAUACCUGCUGCCAAUGCCACCGAAACCCUACAAAGCCGCCUUCACCCACUGGCGCCGCCAAAACCAGCCGGAGCCUUAGCUGCAACCCGCUGGAGCCGCCGCAACAGACCAAAUCCGCCGCAACCCGCUGGAGCCGCCACAACCAACCGCCACCGCAGCUGCACCACGCUGGCCUCACUGGAGCCGCAGCUGCAACACCGCUGGAGCCGCCACAACCCGCCGGUGCCACUGCUGCAACACGCUACCCCGGUCGCAACGCGCUGGAGCCGCAACAACGCGCCGAAGCCGCCGCUGCAACCCGCCGGAGCCGCCGCUGCAACCCGCUGGCGCCGCAGCCGCCUCCCAGAUUUAAUUUGGAUCUUGGAAAAGUUCUGAUUUUGGAAAGGGGAGUGAAUGUGUGAUUUUAGCUUUAGAAAUGAUUAUAGUAUAAAAAAUUAAUAUGCGUUACCUUAUCAAAUGCCCUAAGUGUUGCAGUGGUAAUGUCCUUUGUUUGCUAUCAGCUGAUCGUGGGUUAGAUUCCUGGGUCAGGCGCAUUUUUUUGCCACCCUUUUUCAGC